Molecule: long non-coding RNA, 1705 nt
Organism: Numida meleagris (helmeted guineafowl)
Lineage: Eukaryota; Metazoa; Chordata; Aves; Galliformes; Numididae
Source: Ensembl
AUGCAUUACGGCUCGGAAACACUGACUGCUGCAGCAGCAAAUUGUCGUGUUCAAGGGGUGGCCGGUGCCACCAGGUGGCAGCAGGGCUCUGUCACAAACCGCCUCGUCCUCCGCUCCCAGCAGCCGAACCCUCCCGCUUCUCCACCCGGGAUGAACGCACGAGCCUGGGGCUGCUCCUCUGCGUCCUCCCGCCCCGUGCUGCUGCGGAGACGAUCCCGCAGCAACGGGGAUGGGGGGCCCGGGUGCUGUCCCCAUCCCUGGAAGGAGCAGCGCGGCCCUGAUGCAGUGCCAUGGACUGCGCUGACCCCCGAGCUGGCUCAGCCCAAGCACGCAGCGUGGGAUGCAGCCUGGCUGCGGGCAUCCAGCACCUCCCUGGCGUUGCUUUGGUCUCCUCUCCAUCUGAGAGCUCUGCUGGAGCUGUGGGAUGCGUUUGGGGAAAGCUCUGUCCUAGCAGGGCCCGGUGAUCAUCUCAGCUCCACCCCGGUGCCCCAAACCCGCUAUGCUCGGAGCACCGGGGGCUUCGUUCCCCGUGUCCUUUGCCACGGCCCCGGCGGUGACGCAGCAGCAGCCCCGCACCCAGGGCAGCGCAGAGCCCCGCCGCGUUGGCAAAUAUCCUGUUGCACGCUGCCGCUUCCUGCCUGGAUCCUGGUGGGAGGGGCAGGGACGGCCCGUGCAGCCCCAGAACCAGAUCUAUGUGCUUAUUAGGCCCCGUGGAGGGAGAGCUCCUGCAAAACCCAGCUGCUGCACCCCAACAGCCCCGUCCUGGGGUGGGCACAUCCCUAUGGGCCGGCCCUGGGGACCAGUCUGCUCUGGGGCACGGAACCAGCUCUGUUCCCCCCUCUCCGUGUGGGGCUGCGUCUGCUGUGGAGACCCUACAGUGCUGUAGGAUGGGACGUGUGGCCCAGCUUGGGAUGCACAGGCCCUUUUUGGUUGCAGGAUGCAGCUGCGCUGGGACACCCCACCCUGUGGCCGCGGGCAGAGCCGAGCAGAUCCCGUGUUCACCCCAUCAGAUGUUACCUUGUAGGAAGGUGUCAGACAUGUUUCAAAUGUCAAAAUCAACCCUAAAGGAAGCUGAAGCAACCUGGCCGGCAGCGGUGAAGCAAACUUGGGGCAGUCUUGUGUUACCCCCGGGGCUGCCGCUGCUGCUGCUAUGGGGAAGCUGGUGGCAAGUUUCCUCACCGAGCAGGGCGAUUUCAGGGCUUUGACUCACCCUUAGGAAAUCACAACUGUUCCUUUUUUUCCUCAGAAAGGUAUUUGCAAAUCAGUAGCUGGGCUCUGUGCGUUCAUGGGGCUCUGUGAGUUCACAGCAUGAAGCUGCUCGGAGGCAUCUCAGGCAUUUCCAACCCCCCCUCCCCGCUGCUGAAAGCAGCCAUUCAUAGCCGCCUCCGUGCAAACCUGAGCUGUUGGGAGCCAGGCACUGGGAUCGUGCAGCUCUCAUCUGUGUGAAUCCCAGCACGCCGACCUCGCUGCUGCCCAUGCAAAACUCAGUGCAUCCACCACCCGGCCCCAGGCAGAGCCAAAGGGCCCUAAAAUGGGUUCUACCUCACCCCCCCCCAUCUCUGUCACCCACCACUGCAGCUCAGUCUGAGGAGAGCAUUCCCAAAGGAGAUUGUUUUAGCUGGAAAUGAGGAGGUCAGUCUGCUCUGACCUAUGCAGAACACUGCAAGGGGCACUGUGAGCCCUGCUGUGGUGAGCCCCUGCUCUC